RNAcentral lists this ribosomal RNA (488 nucleotides) under uncultured bacterium. RNAcentral's name for it is "bacterial SSU rRNA". It matches the Rfam family "Bacterial small subunit ribosomal RNA", at positions 30 to 504 of the family's 1533-position model. The record is from RNAcentral.
CGAACGUUGGCGGCGCGCUUAACACAUGCAAGUCGCACGAGAAAGCACCUUCGGGUGUGAGUAGAGUGGCGCACGGGUGAGUAACACGUGGAUAAUCUACCUUCUGGCGGGGGACAACAUCCUGAAAGGGGUGCUAAUACCGCAUAAGUCCACUUCGGUGGGGAAAGAUGGCCUCUCCUUGGAAGCUAUCACCAGAAGAUGAGUCCGCGGCCCAUCAGUUAGUUGGUAGGGUAAUGGCCUACCAAGGCAACGACGGGUAGCUGGUCUGAGAGGAUGAUCAGUCACACUGGAACUGAGACACGGUCCAGACUCCUACGGGAGGCAGCAGUGGGGAAUAUUGCGCAAUGGGCGAAAGCCUGACGCAGCGACGCCGUGUGGGUGAUGAAGGUUUUCGGAUCGUAAAGCCCUGUGGGAGAGGGAAGAACAACCUGACAGAACAAUACCUGGCAGGUCUGACGGUACCUCUUCAGAAAGCACCGGCUAACUCC